Molecule: long non-coding RNA, 915 nt
Filed under: Sus scrofa (pig)
Lineage: Eukaryota; Metazoa; Chordata; Mammalia; Artiodactyla; Suidae
Description: lncRNA (ENSSSCG00030043791.1, ENSSSCG00060018985.1)
Source: RNAcentral
UCCAGUGGUUCGACACUCGUCCUUCGUCCCCUAAACCCAGACACACCUCGACACCACGAACGGGUCUGGGCUGUCAAAACACGCGACGGCGUGUUGAGUUCCAAUAACUUGCACAAUGAUUAAUGAGCGGCUUGAUAAUUUAAUACCGCGUAUGAUUAAAUUAUAAGGCGUGGGGGAGGGGAGCCUGGGCGGACGCCGCGGAGCGAGCGGUUCGCCGCUACGCGCAAAGCCGCGCUCACCCUCUGCGCAGCGCUCUGCAAAGCUCCGAGAGCUGUGGGUCCGCGCCUUCCAAGAAGGAACCAGGGCAUCAAGAAUAUGCUGGAGGAUUGGAGGCCACUGAGGUUGAGGGAAGGAGAACUGGGAAGGAAGGUCCCUGCGAACACGUCUCCCUCAUGUCAGCCAGGCCAGUUGUCCAGGAGACAUUCUGAAUAAUGCCUCAUCCUGGAAGUGGCUUGUGUUCUCAUGGACAGCGGAGAAAAAUGGAAACAUGAGCCAAAGGAAGAUUCCAGAACCUAGGAACAUGUUUGUGCGGGUCUGCAGACAGCAGACAGACAUCCCUCCAUUCUCUGAGAGCCACUCUUCUGUGUUAUGACUGGACCCGUAGUCACUAGGUUUCCAAAGGCAGAGUAAGUCUGUGGGAAAACUGACCCCUGGUGUCCACAGGGAGUGGAGUAGGUAUUAUUUGUUGUAUUUUAGUAGGACCUUUAGUGGAAUCACUAAAGGAAGAUCAGCUGACAACUAGGAUGAGUAUAAGAGCUGAAAAGUGACUUUCACGGCUGUCCCUGGUAACUAGAAUACGUCUAUAGCUUCCUGAAUAGACAACCCCACCCUACUUUUUUUCUUUCUUCUUUGGCCGCAUCUAUGGCAUAUGGAAGUUCCAGGGCCAGGGCUUGAAUCUGAGCCACAGCUUUGACU